RNAcentral lists this ribosomal RNA (330 nucleotides) under uncultured eukaryote. Its description in RNAcentral is "partial 18S ribosomal RNA". It matches the Rfam family "Eukaryotic small subunit ribosomal RNA", at positions 1470 to 1796 of the family's 1831-position model. The record is from RNAcentral.
CCCUUAGAUGUUCUGGGCCGCACGCGCACUACACUGAUGCAUUCAACGAGUCUAAAACCUGGUCUGAUAGGGCUGGGUAAUCUUUUGAAUGUGCAUCGUGAUUGGGAUAGAUGAUUGCAAUUCUUCAUCUUCAACGAGGAAUGCCUAGUAAACGCAAGUCAUCAGCUUGCAUUGAUUACGUCCCUGCCCUUUGUACACACCGCCCGUCGCUCCUACCGAUUGAAUGUUCCGAUGAAUACCAUGGACUGAGAGUAUGAAUGGGUUCGCCUAUUUCUGCUUCUCGGGAAGUGGAGUAAAUCUUAACAUUUAGAGGAAGGAGAAGUCGUAACA